UUCCUCUGGCAUGAGCAAAGAAACACCUUGUUGGUAGUGUUGAUAGUGUUCUUACAUCAGUCAGGGCCAGAGCAGAUGGCAGUCCUUUGUUCAUCCUAGCUUGAUGCCUGGCUUAGUGGUCAAAGCUGUCUUAUGCCUAGGACUCAUAA
Mus musculus (house mouse) is the source of this 149-nucleotide non-coding RNA. The record is from Rfam. Lineage: Eukaryota; Metazoa; Chordata; Mammalia; Rodentia; Muridae.